RNAcentral lists this ribosomal RNA (279 nucleotides) under uncultured bacterium. RNAcentral describes it as "partial 16S ribosomal RNA". It matches the Rfam family "Bacterial small subunit ribosomal RNA", at positions 506 to 784 of the family's 1533-position model. The record is from RNAcentral.
UGCCAGCCGCCGCGGUAAGACGGAGGGUGCAAACGUUGUUCGGAAUCACUGGGCAUAAAGCGCACGUAGGCGGUCCGCUAAGUCAGAUGUGAAAUCCCUCGGCUCAACCGAGGAACUGCACCUGAUACUGGCGGACUCGAGGACGGUAGGGGUGAGUGGAACUCCAGGUGGAGCGGUGAAAUGCGUAGAUAUCUGGAGGAACACCGGUGGCGAAGGCGACUCACUGGACCGUAUCUGACCCUGAGGUGCCAAAGCUAGGGUAUCAAACCGGAUUAGAUA